Molecule: ribosomal RNA, 330 nt
Filed under: uncultured bacterium
Lineage: Bacteria
Description: bacterial SSU rRNA
Rfam family: Bacterial small subunit ribosomal RNA
Source: RNAcentral
UUCGUAGGCGGUGCGGCAAGUUGGGAGUGAAAUCUCUGGGCUUAACUCAGAGGCUGCUUUCAAAACUGCCGUGCUCGAGUGCGAGAGGGGCCAGUGGAAUUGCAGGUGUAGCGGUGAAAUGCGUAGAUAUCUGCAGGAACACCCGUGGCGAAGGCGGCUGGCUGGAUCGCAACUGACGCUGAGGAACGAAAGCUAGGGGAGCAAACAGGAUUAGAUACCCUGGUAGCCCUAGCCCUAAACCAUCAGGACUUGGGGUGGCCCGCGUAGGCGGGUCGUCUCGUAGCUAACGCGUUAAGUCCUGCGCCUGGGGAGUACGGUCGCAAGACUGAA